RNAcentral lists this long non-coding RNA (766 nucleotides) under Sinocyclocheilus grahami. RNAcentral describes it as "lncRNA (ENSSGRG00000002631.1)". Lineage: Eukaryota; Metazoa; Chordata; Actinopteri; Cypriniformes; Cyprinidae. The record is from RNAcentral.
UUUUUUUCAGUGCCCAUCGCCACUCCAGUUGCCAAGCCCCCAGCACCUCCCGCUGGCAACACCAUUCCUACAGUGGUGGGCCGUAGUGUGAUACCACGUAUUACCUCUUCCUCCCCUAGCCCCACUGAGCUGCCCAGCAGUGUCAAUGGAGCACCAAAGAGACCUCACUCUCCAUCUCAGGAGGAUCCACCUAAGAGGCACAAAGAUACAGAGGUGCUAAGCUCUUUAUAAAAUACACAAGUCAAGAAAUCCAUUACAACUGAUCAACCUUUCUGUGGAUCACUAAUAUCAAAAUAUUUAAUCCAGUCUCAAAACUUUAAGCAUGUCUUAAUAUGUAAAUUAAUUAUCUUUUGCUUCAGGUGUUUUCUGAUGACUCUGCGUUUAAAGAGCCAUACCCUCCAAAUAGUAAUGGCUUGGACUGUGAAGAGAGGCCAGCAGGGGAGGGUCUUUCAGCAACCAAACCUAUGCCAAUACCAACAAUUGAUACAUCAAGAUCACAGAGACUACCUAGUAAAGAGCUUCCGGAUGCAUCUUCCCCAAUUCCCACAAGCAAUCUCCGCGUGAUUAAAAAUUCAAUCAGGCUCACCCUUAACCGAUAACAGUUGUCCCUUAAAGAGUGGAACCACACUUGUGUAACAGCAGUGCUGCUUUUAAACUGCUACUGAUAUUUGGCUGGUCUUCCUGCUUGUUACAGAGUUGCAGAGUUCCUGCUUGUAAAGUAUUGACCCACACACACACAGUUUUUUUUUAUGCCUUACUGUGUCAG